GGAACUAUGUAGGAACUAUAUUUUGUUACUCUUCUCCAGGCUAACUGAAAUGCCCAAAGAACAAUAAUAUAGUGGCUACCCAUACUGAUGGUCCUGAAGUAAGUGGCUUCUUUUUGUAAGGUGUUUUAUGGAUGUUUUUGUAAAGUUACUAUGGUAUUUUUCAAUUUUAGGCUUAUCAAUACUUUUUAAUAGGUACGAGAUCCAAACCUAACAAGCAUGUUGUCUAAGAUGACGUUGCUUCACGUUCAGAUCUGGUUGUGUACUCUCUCUAAGAUCUUUUUGAUUGGUCUAUUUUCAGGUAAUCUUUAUUAUGUUCAUCACUCAUCUUACAUCUUUGGUGGAUUUUAUAACUUUCUUGCUUAUGGAAUGUGCUCUAAUAUUUGUUUCCAUUGCCUGUCAACUGGCACCAGCAAUACGAUUGACAUCUUAAGCUAUAGAUCAACCUUUUAAGUAGACGUUAGAUGCCCUUACUAGUAUUAUGUGGAAAUCAGGACAAUGCAGAAUUUGCUGUAGAUCUUUGCCUUAUGUAACCUUUUGUACUCCCUGGAGAUUUGAAGUUCUCUCUAUUUUAGUUGUCGAAUUCUCAUAAUAUUUUGUAUAUUUUAGAGUUAGUUACUUGUGUUUCCCAUUUUGUGUCAGACUUUAUCUGAUAAGAUACAUGUUUGGAUUUGUGAGGUUCAUAAAAGCUACUUGUGCUGGUACUAUUGAGAAUCAUAUUAUGAACUUUGGUUCUUUGUUAUGAUAUUGCAUCCCCUAAGAUGCUGUCUGGAACGUAAUAUCAUAAUUUACUGGGUGCUAAAGUGAUAAUUUUCUAGUAUGAAAGGACAAACAACUAGCCUUGUGAAUCAGUUAAGACCACAUAUCAUCAUUGGCAGUAAAAGGACCCAAGUCUAAAGGAUUAGGUGUAUCUAUAAUAAAGAUAAUCCUUCCUUUCGACCACUAGGAUUAUCCUUCCUUUCGACCACAUGCUAAUCUUCCAGGGCUAUGAAGAUACUGUUGAAGAUGUUCAUUUUUUCCCUUCAAGGUGAUAUUGACUUGAACUAGAUCCUGUGAGAGGUUGUUUGGGUGGAGUGAGCCUUAUAAAUUAGGUUGUCAAGUUAUCAGAGUCCUGUUGGUAAAUUCUUCUUAUUUUCCUUUCGUUAUUCUUUGGUACUCAUCCACUUCAACCGAGUUAUCAUCCGUUAAAGAAAUAUUAAGCUAUUAUCCUUGUGUAACACCCCAACCAUUUCAAUGCUUAAUAAGUACAUUAAAUGAGUCAUUAAUUUCUCAAUAUCAAAGAUAAAGCACCUAAGAUUGGGUUUGAAUGGGUUAGGGACAUUUUUAUGCUUAGAAAAGACCUUCGUGUUGCCAAAUGGGCAACCCGUGGCAGCCGCACGCCACGAAGACCCCGCGAUAGGUUACUGCCUCGGGUUUUUGCCGGGGGUCAUGCCACAAACCCUUUCAUUUGUGAUGGGGUCGCCCCAUGAACCUUCAGGUUUGCAAUGGGGGUCGCCCCAUAAACCUUCCCGUCGAGCAAUGAACUUCCUCCAUUUUUCAUCAAUCAUCUUCAUUUUUUUUUAUAUUUUAAGGGCAUGAGAGUCUUUUCACACUUGUAAGUUAUUCCCAAUCCCAUAUGUAUGUGUAUAGGGUCUUAAAAAAGGCUUCAUAUUUCAAAAAGCCCUCUAAUCAUAAUUCAAACAACAAAGGAGGAGAAAACCACUUAGGGUUUGAGAAUUUCAAGAUCCAAGGGUAAACUUUGAAGCAAUUUCUCUCUAUUAGAAGUACGUAGAAUGACCUAAAUUUUAAGUGUAGAAACUUUGAGGUUUUUAUUCAUAACAAGUGCAUAAAUUUCAAGAUUUGCAUCCAACCUCAAUUGUGCUUAUGUAUAUAUGUAUAUAUGUAUAUAUGUGUGUGCUUGUUAAAUUGUGAUUUAUGAAAAGGAUGAGGUUGUAAAUGAUUUCCUUGCUCAGUAUUGCAUGAGGAAGGUUUUAAUGAUUAUUAUAUAUUGUGAUGUUUAUCUUAUUUUUUAUGGUAGUUAGUCGAAUAUGACUGAAAAGAGAAUUCCUUUUUCCUAAAAGCUUUAAAAAAAAUUCAUGAAUGUGAGAUGCUUGUCUAAACCACUAUGACCACUCAAAAGGGUUUUACAAUGUGAUUAUAAAAGAGGCGACCACCUUAAAAGUUAAGAUUUAAAAGAAAGGUAUUUUACUUAAGCUUGCAUAAUAUUUUCAAAAGAGACCUCUCUUAUGAUAUUUGAAUCAUUGUGGUAGUCAAAUAACAUGAUUUUAAAUAAAAAGAGCUAAGACGUGAUAUGAUAUGGCUUAUACGGCUUGCAAAUCUUGGUAUGACGAUACCAAAACAGACAAAUUCCAUGACAUACUUGGACUAGACCAAACUUUUCGGACAUCAUACCAGAUUUUUAGAAAGUAUGCAGAUUUUAAGAGGAUAAAAUAUGGGCUUAAAGAGAAUUAGGUGGAUAACCGAGAAGGCACAAGUUUAGAUAACUCAUAGCCCAAUCGUAUUUAGCCGACAUGGGGUUGAUUUGGUCCUGAAAUAUGGAUUAUCAUUAUAUACUUUCUAUAUGUAGUUGUAAACAUGACCAGACGCUCCAAUCAUUAUGAAAAAAUUGGAUUGGGGGUUGACAAAUGAGUUAAUGUUGAACCCUGCAUAGCCCGUGGGGUUUUUCAAACCAUGUUGGUGAAUGCCACCUAGAUCAAAAUUAAAGAAUAUCAUGAUGUUGUCAUUUUUUGUUUGAAUUACAUCUUUUCAUACUGAUUUGAUGUCGUAUAACCACAUGCUAUAACUUUGAUGAUAUUUUCACUACUAUGAUGUUUGAAAGUUAUUUUCUUUGGUAUUUAUAUGUACUAAUACAUUUCAAGUAUUGACCAUCCUCGGGCGGCUACAUUGUCUCAUAAUGUAGGUUCUAAGGCACAGUCCUGUGGUCCAGUUUAUCAUCAGUAGACCCCUAUAAGAAAUUCAGAGUUGCCUUACUCUGAAAGACAAUUAUCUAUAUAUUGAUUUCUUCUAAUAUCAUGGUCUGGUUGAGGGUUUUGUCACAGUAUAGACAGAUGAGUAAUCAGUAGAGGCAUCGUAGACUGAAUUUAGGUUUUCAUAAAUUGAUGUCAUGAUGUACUAAAUUUUCUUAAGAGACUUCUCAUGUUCCAGAUUAUCUUCGGCAUUUAUUUUUGGUUAUGAAUAAUGCCUAUAAUAAUAUUCUAAAGGAUCUUUUGACCCUUUCUAGUUUCGCGGCCAGGGCCCUGGCUUGAGUCAUGAUAAGUUUGGUAUCACACCAUGGUUCAGGGUCCAAAGGUAUCUACAAAACUGUGUUGAGUAGAGUCUUUUUUAUUGGUUUAUAGCACAUCACACUUAUUAGGCGGAAGCUACGAGGCAUUUAGGAAUACUUUAUAUUUUUUUCAUGUUCUAGUUCAUGCUAUAUGGUAUGAAUAUUUCCUAACAGAUUACUUUUCGCGUUUCAGUCUAUGCCUCACUAAAGAUCUAAUAGUCAGAACCCCUCAGCUAGACACUCUGUUCCUAUUAGGACAAAUACUAAAGAUGUUUGUCCUACUCAUGGGAUGUGGACCCAUUAUAGAGCCCAUACUCUAUACACCAGUCCAAACUAGCCCUCAUCAAGUUCAUUAGUCUAGUAUCUACCAUACCUAGUCUCUACAAAGAGAGGUCACAAAUGCUGAGUUCCACAGUUCAUCCAUAUGCUUGCUCAACUUAUUGCUUCAUAGUCUCAUUAGUUUGGAAAUGUAAGUACUAUUACUGGUUCUUCUGAGAUUACUCGGGUGGAUUGGUUCAUGAUGUUGAGCCCAUCUAUCUUUAUAGGAGCUAGGGUUGAGGGUGAUUCUCAAUAGUUUGUUGAUGAAAUAAGGAAAAUAUUUAAAAUCAUACAUAUUAACAAUACUGAGGGGGUAGAGUUUGUAGCUUAUUAGUUGAAAGAAAUGGCUUACUAGUGGUAUGAUGAGUGGGAGGAGUUAAGGGGUAAGACUGCUGAACUUGUAAUAUGGGAAUAUUUUUCGGGUGUUUUUUUAGAUCAUUUCUUUCCUUAGGUGAUGAAAGAAUCUAAGGCUAAGGAAUUUAUUAAUAUAAAUAAGGGAAGAUUAGAGUCAAAUAAUAUACAUUAAAGUUAACUUAGCUAUCCUAUUAUGCUUCAAAGUUAGUGUGCAAUAUGAGAGUUCGUAUGAGAAAGUUCAUAGUCGAUAUUUUGAAUGAUUUGGUGUUAGAAUAUAAAGGGGUGAUGCUGAAUAGUGACAUGGACAUCUCUAGGUUAGUUGUGUAUAUGCAACAAGUAGAAGAGGGGAAAAAGAGGCAAGCAAAGGUAGAGGAAAGAUGGGUUAAGAGAUCUAAGUCUACAGAUUAUGAUCUCAGUUAGCAGUAGGGUAGAAAAUGAGGCAAGAAAUAGACUAAGAAGAAGUUUUGGGGUAAUGCAUAGAGCUCAGCUAGUUCACCUACACCCAAACAAAUGGGCGACUAGUGUUUCCAGUCAUAUGGUAGAAAAAGGGUGAAAAGCCCUCCGUCUCAGGGAAGUGUAGUUCAAUCAACUAAAUUACACCCUCACUGCAACACCUGCGAGAAAUUUCAUCCAGGGAAGUAUCAGUAUGGGACUCUUGUGUGCUAUAGUUAUGGUCUGGCUAGUCAUUUUAAGAGAGAUUGUCUUUAUGACAAUAGAACUUAUGAGUCCAGUAAGGCCUAAGCUACUAAAUCAGCCGCUCCAGCUAAGGGUAUCAUAUCUAGUACAGGAAGGAGUUGUAACUAUUUGUAUACCCUAUCUACACGCCAGAAGUCAGAGUCUUCACCAGAUGUUAUUACGGUUAUGUUACAAAUCUUCUCUAGUAAUGUCUAUGUGUUUCUUGAUCUCGGGUCUACUUUUUCUUAGGUGACUCUUUACAUGGUAGUGAGUUUUGGUUUUAAGCUCGAAAAUAUUUUUGAACCCUUCUCUAUCUCUACCAUGUUGGUGACUUAAUUUUUGCUAUAAAAACUGUGUAGUGUCAUAUUUUUAUCGAGAUAUUAUAGUAGACCUUGUAGAGCUUGAUGGUGAAUUUUAAUGCUAUUCUGGGAUGGAUUGACUCCAUUAAUGUUAUGCUACAUUAGAUUGUACAUCAUAUAGGUCUCCUUCUAUUUCUCUAAUGAGCUAGUUAUAAAAUGGAAAGGGUAUUCUUUUGCUCCUAAAAGGAAGUUCAUAUAUUAUCUUAGGGCACGUAAGGUUAUAUCUAAAGGUUGUUUGUAUCAUCUUGUCUAGGUCAAAAAUUCUACCAUCGAAAAUCAUUCCCUACAGUCAGUUCCAGUGGAUAAUGAGUUCCUAAAAGUUUUUAUUGAUGAACUUCUAGGAAACCCCCAGAUAAGGAAAUAGACUUUGGUAUUGACUUUUUGCCAGACACUCAACGUAUUUCCAUUCCGCCGCAUAGGAUGAAUCCGACAUAAUUGAAAAAAAUCUAAGGAUCAAUUAAAAGACCUUCUUGAUAAUGGCUUUAUUCGUUCUAGUGUCUCCCCCUAGGGUGCUCCUAUACUCUUCGUCCGUAAGAAAGACGUUUCCCUUCGUAUGUGUAUAGAUCAUCGUUAGUGGAAUAAAGUGACAGUUAAGAAUAAAUACCAUCUUCCCUGAAUUGAUAAUCUUUUUGACUAGCUUCAGGGUGCUAGAUAUUUCUCUAAGAUUUACCUUCAUUCAGGUUAUCAUCAAUUGAAAGUUAGGGAGGCUGACACUUCUAAGACAGCUUUCCAAACCUGAUAUGGCCACUAUGAAUUCCUGGUCAUGUCCUUUGGACUAACUAAUUCUCUUACAAUAUUUAUGGACCUCAUGAAUAGGGUGUUUCAAUAGUUUUUCGAUCUAUCCAUCAUACUUUUCAUUAAUGAUAUUUUGGUUUACACUAAGAGUGAGGAAGACCAUGCCGAUCAUCUUCUUAUAGUUCUUCGGAUUCUUAAAAACCAUGAGUUGUAUGCCAAAUUCUCAAAGUGUGAGUUUUGGCUCAGUACAAUAGCUUUUCUAGGGCAUAUUAUUUCUUGUGAAUGGAUUAAGGUUGAUCCCCAAAAGGUUAAAGUAGUAAGCAAAUGGACCAGACCCACAACCAAUAUUAGGAGUUUCUUAGGUUUGGAAGGAUAUUAUAGAAGGUUUGUAGAGAGUAUUUCAUCUAUAGCUGCUCCACUUACCAUGUUGGCUUGAAGAAGGUCUAGUUUUAGUGAUCUGAAGCUUGUGAGAUUGAAAGACAAUCUGACUACUGUGUCAGUUUUGACCCUUCCUGAGGGUUCAAAGGGUUUUGUUUUGUAUUGUAUUGCAUCUCGGGCGGUACUUGGUUGUGUACUUAUGAAUCAUGGUAAGGCGGUGGCCUAUGUAUCCAGGCAAUUGGAAGUUCAUGAGAAAAACUAUCCCAUCCAUGAUCAAGAGUUGGAGGCUAUGAUUUUUGCACCCAAUAUUUGGUGCCAUUAUCUUUAUAGGGUGCAAGUUCACAUCUUCACUAAUCGUAAGAGCUUACAGUAUGUGUGCACCCAGAAGGAGUUGAAUAUCUAGAAGAGGCGGUGGCUCGAACUGUUGCAGGAUUAUGAUAUGAGCCUACACUAUCAUCCAGGUAAAGAUUAUAUGGUUGCUGAUGCUCUUAGCAGGUUAUCCAUGGGCAGUCUUUAUCAUGUUAUAAUGCCCCAAGUCUGUACCCUGGACGCUACAUGGAGCUUACGACCCCGAAGGACUACAAGCUAACCUAUGAUUGAUAUCUGCUGUAAGCACUGAAACAUAAUACUAUAAUAAAUGUAGAAUAAUAGACUAAAAUGCCAUAAGGUUCAAAAUAUUUGAAAUACUGAUAAAUUAUAUCAUCUAAAAUAAUAAUCUGUAAAGCUGAACACUAUUUGAAAAUUAGUCUGAAAAGCCUCUAACUGAAACUGUCUGAAAGUGGAGUUGAUGGGAAAUACCCCAGCUAACUCCACCUACAGAAAUACUUAUUCUAAUAAAAUAAUGAAAUAAAAGAAUAUCCUCGAAUGAUGAGGACUCACUACUAAUCUACUGCUGCUGGCUAAAUCUGAGUCUAUUUAUGCGCGGUUGGGAACCUGAGCAUCCGAACCUAUGAUAUGAGACAUCAUAGCACAAAGAAAGAGUCUGUUUCAGUAGAUGGAAUAUACUGGUAUGCUAGAUGAGGUAAGACUGAAUGCAAGAGUUCAUAUGCAUAAAUAAUAACUGACUGUAUGAUAUAGAGUAACUGAACAUAAGAGUACAUGGAUAAUUGAUACUGCUGUAAAACUGAGUGUGCACUACUGUGCAUAUAAAUAAACACUAUGACUAAGAUUAUCUGAAGGUAAGUCCUGAGUUUUAAUACUGAGUAACUGAUAUCUAAAGUUACUGAUAACUGUGUUACAGAUACUGAUUGACUGUAUCUGACAGUCUUGAUUUUGUAGAACUAAAUUGAGUUCUAUUCUGAAGACUGAGAUUGAGACCGCGGGAGGUGAUCAUCUAACCGACAUACCCCAAAUAAGAUAACUGAGUUGGGGUUCAACCUGUGACCCCAAUUGAAAGGGUGUUAGUACCGUGGCACAGGUAAAGACACUGAAGAGUUACCCUCAUCUGGUAUAUACUCUAAUGAGAAUAGUGGAACCCUCAUCUAGCAGGUUAAAACACCUCAUCAACCCUCAAUCGGCAGGUUUGAUAUCUCAACCUACGUUGGCUACAUAGUUCUAGAAUGUAAGAAUUUCUUCUAGAGAUUACACCCUCUACUGGCAAGUGAGCCCCCAUCCUUGGGUUCAAGUGAGCCCCCAUCCUUGGGUUCACUCGGUGUUGAAUCCUAAUCCCAACUGAAAGAUACUAAACUGAGUAUACUAAACUGGACUGGAUUAAUACUGAGUUUACUGAGUUUUCCUAAGUUUGGUAACUGACUGAGUUCUACUGAGUUCUGUAAUUGACUGAGAGUACUACUUUCAUGACAUGACUGAGAUUUUGUAACUGAUACUGGCUUAGGCACACAACUAAAUUAUCAGGUAUUAAAUACCUCCAGGACUCGAUAGUAUAAAAAAAGGCAUAACAUAAUCUUGAAAUACAUAAAACUUUACACUUGUCCAUAAUUCAUUCAUAAAGACAUUUUAUCAAACACCUGUAACGCAUUAACUUGUACAUGAAUGAGGAAUACAUGCUAUUAUGUUAUAAUGGAAUUAUUUCUUUCACAUAGGCAUUUUAUCAAACACAUGGGGAGGCAUAACUGAAUUAUUAAAUCAUAAACACUUAGGGUUGACAUGGUUUCAACAAUCAACUUACAAAUUGAAGGGUUUAUCAUGAAGAUCAUGUAAUGCAACACAUACAAUGAUUAAUUUCAUAAAAGCAUGUAAUUUAAUCAUGGACUAAAACCCAACAAUAACAUGAACAUGAAUUUAAUUCAAUUCAAGCAUGGAAGUUCAUAAUUCAACAAUCUUGUAUUUUGAAAACGGAUUUGUGGACUAUAUGGGUGAAAGGAACCCAUAGAUGAACACCUAACUUACCUUAAUUUGUGAGUUUCUUAAAGUUCUUGGUGAAUCCCUUGAGAUUGCUAUUGUUUUCUUGAAGCUAGGGUUUGUAGUUUUAAGAGAAAAUGCUUUCAAUUUGGGGAUAAAUUGAGUGAGUAAUUACUUAAAACAUUUUUAGGGAUUAAAUCCCGUAUCUGCGCAUGCUACAAUCAUGGGAAAAGAUUGUUUUAACCCUAGACAAAAAUUUAAUUUUUGUCAAAAUUUUUCGAAAUAGGCACCUGGCGCGAUGUGGAGCUAUCGCACCGUGUCUCUGAAAAUUUCCAACUGGGAAAAUGCAUGGUGGCACGAUGUGGUGGUAUUGCGUUGCCACUUUGGUUGGGACCUGAAAAUUCACCGCGAUGCGGUGGAGUCACAUUGGUACAUUGGAAAUGGACAAUUAUGAAAAUAAUUUAUGGUGCGACGCGCCAGUAUCAUGGUAUUUCAUUGGAAACUGACAAUUGCUAUUUUUACAUACUCCGCGAUGCGCUACUGGCCUGAAUGACGGUGUUUAAUGACUGAAACUUAAAACAGCCAUAACUUGUUACCCGAUUAUCAAAUUUAGGAAAAUUUUAUAUCGUUGGAAAGCUAAUUCAAUUUACUACGUAAUGGAAGGCUCUAAACUGAAAAAUACUAAGCAUUUUAAAAAAUUUAUAUUGGAUAUCUUAUGAACUGAGAGUUAAGUUAAAAUUGAGAAAUAUGGAGUAUUACACAUGUCGAGGAACAAAAGUGGAAUUUUGCCAAAGAUAUUCAUCAGCUUUCUAAUUUGGGAGUCUUACUCCUAGACUCUAAGGAUAGAGUGUUGUUUAUUCAAGAGGUAGCUAAAUCAUCCCUAUCUGGCGAAGGUAAGGAAAAGCAGGCUAGAGAUCCUAUAUUGAUGCAGAUUAAUGAAUAUGUUGGUCAACAAAAGGUUAUGGCAUUUUAAAUUAGAGGAGAUAGUAUUUUGAGAUACUAAGAUAGGUUUUGUGUGCCGAAUAUGGAUGGGUUACGAGAAAGGAUUAUUGAUGAAGCUCAUACUUAUAGGUAUAAUGUUCCCCCUGGCUCCACUAAAAUGUACCAUGACCUAAAGGAAAUUUACUGGUGAAAAAAUAUAAAAAAGAUGUUGCUAACUUUGUGGCUAAGUGUUUGAAUUGAUAAGAAGUUAAGGUCAAACACUUGAAGCCAGGUGGUACCUUUCAAGACAUAGCUUUGCCAUUAUGGAAAUAGGAGAUAAUCAACAUGGACUUCGUUACUAGUAUUCUGUGAUCCUAAAACUAGAAUGACUUAUUUUAGGUUAUUGGUGAUAGGUUGACCAAAUUUGCUCACUCUUUGCUGGUGAGAACUAUUUAUUUGGGAGAUGAUUAUGCGAUAUUGUACAUUCAAUAAAUAGGUCAAUUACAUUAGGAUUCAGUAUCCAUUAUAUCCGACUUAGUUAUGUAGUUUUUUUCAGAAAGGUUUGGGUAUCCAAGUAAGUCUUAGCACCGCUUUUUAUCCUCAGAUAGAUGGGCAAGUGGAGCAUACCAUUAAUACCUUAGAGGAUAAGAUAUGGGAUUGCAUGAUUAAUUUUAAAGGUAGUUGGGUAGACCACUUGCCUCUAAUAGAAUUCGCCUACAAUAAUAGUUAUCAUUCUAGCAUCCAAAUAGAUCUUUUUGACACUCUCUAUGAAAGUAGGUGUAGAUCACCAAUUGGUUUCUAUAAGGUGGGUGAAACUCAUUUUUUUAGACCUUAUAAUGUUCAUCAAGUGAUCCAAAAGUUAAAAGUCAUUAGAGAGCAACUUAAGAGCCCAAAGUCACCAAAAGUGCUAUUUCAAUCUAAGAAGAAGGGAGUUAGAACUUUAGGUGGAUGAUUGGGUAUUUCUUAAAGUCUCUCCUAUGAAGGGAGUUAUGAGAUUUGGGAGGAAAGGAAAACUAAGUCCUAGUUCCAUAGGUCCUUAUCAGAUUACGAGAAGGAUUGGUGGAGUGGCGUAUGAGUUAAUUUUUCCUGUUAGUUUAUCUUUAUUUCAUCCCUUAUUUCAUGUGUCAAUUCUUAAGAAAUGUAUUAGAGAUCAUUCACUUCUACUUCCAUUUGAAGGGAUUGGUGUGAGGGAUUCUUUGCCAUACGAAGAAGCACCCAUAGCGAUAUUAGAUUGCCAAGAUUAAAAAUUAAGGAGUAAGGAGAUAGUUUCGGUUAUAGUGUUAUAGAGAAAUCAAAAGAUAGAGGAAGCUACAUAGGAAUAAAAGAAUGAUAUACGUUCAAGGUACCAUCACUUUUUGAAUCUUCGAACGAUGUCAUGGAAGGUAUAAAUCUUAUCUUACUCAUUGUAUUCCAUGUAACUCUUUAAAUCGUGCUUAAGAUGUUCCAAGACAUUGUUCGGGGAUGAAUGAUCCCUAACCCAACCUUUUCGAUGCUAAAUAAGUGAUGCAAUCAGUCCUUAAGACCCCGAUAUAGAAGAUAGACCACCUAAGGUUGGUUUUGAAUGGGUAGGAGGCGUUUAUAGUCUUAGAAUAGAUCUUUGUAUCUUGAAAUAGGCACCCUGCGAUAGCCCUAUGCCGCGAAGACCUCUAUUAUAGAUGUUAUGCCAUGAACCCUACGGUUCGCAAUAAGGGUCGCCCUGUGAACCUUCAGGUUUGCGAUGAGGGUUGCCCCAUGAACCAUUAGGUUUGUAAUGGGUGUGAUGCCAUGAAACCCCAUUAUUUUUCAUCGAUAGUCCUUUAUUUUCAUAUAUUUUAAGGGCAUGAGGGUCUUUUAAAACCCAUAAGUCAUUCCCAAUCCCUUAUGUACGUGUAUAGGGUCUAAAAAAUUACUUCACAUAUUAGGAAACCCUCUAUUUAUCAUUCAAACAACAAAGGAGGAGAAAUCAACUUAGGGUUUGAGAAUUCCAAGCUCCAAGGGUAAACUUUGGUUAAAUUCUCUCUAUUAGAGGUAUGUAGAAUGACCUAAAUCUCAUGGGGUUUGAUUAUAAUUUCUACUCUAUUUUAAGUGUUGAAACUUUGAGGUUUUUAUUCAUAAUAAGAGCAUAAAUUUCAAAAUUUGCAUCCAUCCUUAAUUGUGCAUUCUUACAGGUAUAAGUAUAUAUAUAUAUANNNNNNNNNNNNNNNNNNNNNNNNNNNNNNNNNNNNNNNNNNNNNNNNNNNNNNNNNNNNNNNNNNNNAAAUUUAUAUAUAUCCUCUAAUGUGUAUUCUUACAGAUAUAUAUAUAUAUAUAUAUAUAUAUAUAUAUAUAUAUAUAUAUAUAUUUAUGCAUAUUAAAUUGUGAUUUUUGAAAAGUAUAAGGUUGUAAAUGAUUUCCUUGACCAAUAUUGCAUGAGGAAGGUUUUAAUGAUUAUUAUAUAUUGUGAUGUUUAUCUUGUUUUGAUGUUGUUUAGUCGAAUAUGAUUGAAAAUAUAAAUCCUUUUUCCUAUAACCUUUAAAAGAAUUCAUUAAUGUGAGAUGCUUUUCCAAACCACCAUGGUCACUAUAAGGGUUUAGCAAUGUGAUUAUGAAAAAGGUGACCACCUUAAGAUUUAAGCUUUGAAAGAAAAGUAUUUCACUUAAGCUUGCAUAACAUUUUUGAAACCGAACUCUUUUAUGAUAUUUGAAUCAUGUGAUGGUCAAAUAACAUGCUUUUAAAUAAAAUGGGCUAAGAAAUGAUAUGCCAUGAUAUGAUACGGCUUAUAUGGCUUGUAAGUAUUGGUAUGACGAUAUCAAAUUGGACAAAUACCAUGACAGACUUAGAUUAUACUAGAAAAUAAACUUUUCAAACUUAAGACCAUGUUUUGAGAAAAUAUGCAUGUUUUAAGAGGCAAAAUUUGGAUUAAAGAGAGUUAUGUGGCUAAUCAAGAAGGCACGAGUUUAGAUAACUCAUAGCCCAAAAUUUUCUUUUGCCGAAAUGGGAUCGAUCUUGUCCUAAAAUUUGGAUGAUCAUUAUAUACUUGUUAUAGCAUCUGUAUACCAGACUAGACACUUCAAUUCAUGCAGAAAAUUUGGAUUGGGAGCUUGACCGACGAGUCAAUGUCAGACCCUGCAUAGCUCAUGGGGUUUUUCUGACCUUAUUGGGUAUCUCGCCUAGCUCAGAACUAAAGAAUAUCAUUAUAGUGUUUAUUAGAAAAUUUUGGGUUGAAUUACAUAUUUUCAGACUGAUUUGAUGUAAUAUAACCCUAUUAUAUGAUUUUGUUUGAUGUUUUCAUUAUUAUAAUGCUUGAAAGUUACUUUCUUUGGUCGUUCUAUGUACCAAUAUAUUCCAAGUAUUAGUCAUCCUCGGGAGGCUACAUUUUCUCAUAAUAUAGGUUCUGAGGCAGAAUCUCGUGGUCCAGUUCUACAGCAAUAGACCCCUAUCAGAAAUUUAGAGUUUUUGAGCCUCCCUUACUCUGGAAGUCGGUUAUCCAUAUGUUUAUUUCUUUUAACUUCAUGGUCCAACUAGGGGCGGUGUCCUAAUAUUGACAGAUAAGUAAUAAGUAGAGGCUUCAAGACUAGAUUUAGGUUUUUAUAGACUGAUGGCAUGGUAUACUAGAUUUGCUUAUGAGACUUUUCAGGUUUCAACUUAUCUUCCACAUUUCUUUUGAGGUGUGAAUAAUGCUUAUGAUAAUAUGCUAAGGGGUCUCUUGGGCCAUUAUGGUUCGGGAUGCCCGUCAUGGCCAGGGCCCUAGCUCGGAUUGUGACACUUUAUUCCCUGAGCUUCACCUAUUACUUCCUAUUUGCAUAGUCAUCAUGGUCUUGCUACAUCCUCCUUAGUCCCCUUUGGAUUUUGUGUUUCUUAAAAAAGUGAUACAAUAAGUUUGCAUUGAUCAGUUCUGCUUUGAUGUCUAAGUUUCUCUAUUUGAUGUUUUCAUGGAACAUUCUAAAGUUACUAACAAUAACAAACAUAGGCUAAGAUUCUGCAAUUUAUGUAUUUCAACAUUUUGUUCUUAACAUAACUUCUGAAUUCGGUGACAUCCUAAACAAAAAUGGUGAAUAAGCAUUCGAUCUAUGAGAUUAACAUAUCUAUAAAUAUCUGAUUAGUCUUUUGAAAAUAACAUUUUACUUUAACCUUCAUGAAGUUCACAUGAAUUCUGUAGUGUUAUUCAUGAUUCAUGCCCCAUAUUAUGGGAUACUUGAGUUGGUAACAAUCCUAUUGUAAAGGUAUGUUGAUUGCUUUCAUGAUUGUUUAAUGGCAAAUUUUUUUUUGAAUGAGAUAAUUCGAUAUACUUGUUUGAUCGAUGAAAUUCUGGCAAUCUUGGAGAUGUCCAAAGAUGAUUCCAUUAUAUAAAAUAAGGGAGGACAUCUAGAGUUGCUAGAACUAUAGGGGUGUCAAGUUGUCGAGUCAUACUAUAGAGGUUUAGGAAAGGGUGGUAGAGUUGAGGCUAGGAGGAUCAUGACUAUUUUUUAGAAUCAAUUCAAUUUCAAGAAUCAGUUUAGUUUUGUGAGGAUAAUAGUUGAUCAAUAUAGGGAAAGGAAGAAGGACGUGCACGCAGUGUUCAUCAAUCUUGAGAAGGCAUACAACAAAAUACCUAAGAGGUUCUAUGGAGGUGCUUGGAGGUUAGAGUGUUAGCUCCUACGUCUAUGUUUUAAUAAUGACAAAUUAACAAGUAUAUCUUUGCAGGAUAUAGAAAACUGUUGAUAUUAGAAGGAUAAAGGAAGCCGACUCCAAGAAUAGAAGGACAUCAAUUCCCGAUCCACGACAUCCAAGUAAAUCAAUCACAAACUCCAUGAAUGGAAGGACAUUAGGAAUGGAAGAACAUAUGGAAUGGAAUGACAUAAAUUCAUGACCAAUGGCAUCCAAGUAAAUCAAUCACAAUGAUAAAAAAAUGAAAGGAGAAUCUCAUCCCUAAAAGUCAUAGAAAAUCAAAUCAAUCACGAUAAAGUAAAAGAAGAAAAAGUUCAAAAACACAUUUAGAAAGGCAUCAAUCUCUACGAGACUAAAAAGAACAAUAGAUCAUGGACAUAUCUGAUAUGGAUGUGAGUAAGAGUCGUAUAUGGACAUCUCUGAUAUGGACAUAUCAGAGAGAUACAUUUCUUAAUCAAGGAAUCAAUUCAAAUCCUUGAUUGAGAAGAAAUAUCUUGGGUUUCCUUUUUAAGAGUAGUAGCCACAGACUAUAAAAGAGGAAUACUAAAUAUGGACGUGGGUUGUGCAACUUCAAGAAGAAAAACUCAAAGUGUAUCAAUCUUAGUCUCAUAAGGCUUUGUAAUCUUUAUCUUACAAUUGUUAUACAAAGAUUAGGAUCAAGUCCACUUUGUGAUAUAAACUGAAGCUGUCUCACAAGAUUCGAAGUGCUAAAUAAGUCUUCGAAACUUGUUUCUCAUCAUUGUACUUGAAGCCAAUAUUGAAAGAUCCAAGGAAAUGUUAAAAACCAAGGGGAUUAGAAGUAGGCAACACAUUGGUUUUCCAAACCAGGAUAAAUUCUCGUGUUCUUUACAGUAGAAUUUAGUUAUUUAUUUGCGUGUUUAUUUUAAAUCUAAUCUAUUUUGUGAAGCAUACUAAUCUGCAGGAAAGUCAACUAUGAGAAAUGAGUAGUUGACUCACAUACAAUUUUAAUUCAACCCCUCUUGAAUUUCAAUUGGUAUCAAAGCAGGUCUCACCAAUAGGAUUUCUUAAUCGGAAGUGAGCAAAGAUCAAAUGGAAAAUUAUCAAAUUCCCAGUGCUUUUCUCCAGAAUGGUCACUUCUCUACAAGACCACCAUACUUUAAUGGACAACAUUACUCUUAUUAGAAGAAUAGGUUUAGAAUCUUUGUCCUAUCAAAUGACUUUCAAUCCUGGGUUGUUAUCAAGAAGGAUCCAAAGCCGAUUCCAAAACUCAAGGAGAAGACAAAGGACAAAGAUAAAGAAUCUAGUAGUUCUUACGUAGAAGUCCAUGAAAGAUUUGAGGUAACCCAAGAACAAUAAGAGGUAAUUAAAACUAAUGUACGUGUUAUAAGUCUACUUCUUUGUGCAAUGAGUGGAGAAGAAUACGAUAAGAUAUCAACCUGCAUGACUGGAAAAGAGAUGUGGAAUUAAUUGGAGGUAACCCAUAAAGGGAUCACCAAAGUCAAAAAGUCAAAGAUUGCUUCCCUGGCCAAUGAAUAUGAGUUGUUCAAAAUGGAAGAAAAUGGGAACAUUAAAACAAUGUUUUCUAGAUUCAACAAGAUCGUAUGGGAACUAAACUCACUUGGGAUGAUCUAUCCAUACAGCCUGCAAGUCCAGAAGCUAGUCCAGAGUCUCCCAAAAUUUUUGGAAACCAAGGCUGCCAUUGUAGAAUAUAAAUAUCUUCACAAUAUAACAUAUAAUGAACUACGAGGUAACCUCAUUACAUAUGAAUACAAUUAUAUAAACAGGUACCACAAAGAAGAGAAGAAGAAACCAAUAUCCUUUAAUGCUGCUCCAACCAAAGAAGUGGACAUUCUGGAAGAUGCUAAUAGUGAAGGAAUGGCUCUUAUAAAUUAUGGAGUAAGGCAAAUCAUGAAACAGAGACAACAAAGAUCCCAAGGAGCCAAGAGUGAUGAUUCUAUCAGAAAUGAUGAUCAUUGAUAUUACUGUUGAAGGCCUUGUCACUUUAAACAAAACUAUCCUAAGUUAAGUAGAAGAUCAUCCAGAAAAAAUCAAAACUUUGGAGCCUGGAGUAAUGAAGAUAAAACCAAAGAACAAGUAGAAACCACUAAUAUGUGUUUCACGACAAUAAGUGAAUCUAGCAAGGUAAGAAUACAUGAUUGUCCUAAUGGAAAUAUUCUUAAAUCUAACUUAGAUUUGAUAACUAACGAGAUUCAAAAGGUUAUAGAUAAAUAUAACAAACUUGCUCAAAAGAAGAAAAGUUGUGAAGCCCUAUUUAAAAGAAAACUUGAGGAGGAAUAGAGAAGUCAUAAAAUAGAAAUCGAAGCAUGCCAAAUAAAAUUGAAUUGCUUCAUGAAGAGCUUGAUGAUGUAAUAAUAAAGAUAAACAGUAUUAAUAAAAUUCCUAGUCACAGUUUUGUGAGAUCCAACUCUUUUCAAAAUAAGUCAAGUUCUUCAUCAAAAUUAUUUAAAUCAGCUAAGAUCUUAUUUUCUUUUUGAGGACCUGUCUAUUUUAUAUGUGGAUAGAGAGGGCACAAAUCGUACAUCUAAAGGAAUAAGCCUAAAUGUGUAUGGGUUUUGAGGCCCAAAAGAAGCACAUCUAACCCGCAAGGACCCACGACCACUUGGGUACCUAAAAAAAUUAAUCUUUUUAUGUUCCACGAACAGGUCCGCAAGAGCUAUAAGAAAGGAAUAUGGGUCAUUGAUAGUGGAUGUUCCAUACGUAUAACUAAAAAGAAAGAAAAUUUUAAUACUCUAGAGAAAUUAGAUGGGGAAUCAGUAAGGUUCGAUGAUAAUGCUAGAGGCAAUGUCAUCGAAGUUGGCUCAGUAAAACUUGGUUCAUCAUGAAAAUUCAUGAAUUAUAUCUAGUAGACGACCUCAAAUAUAAUCUACUCAGCAUCAGUUAGCUCUGUGAUGCCGAAUUUGGAGUACUCUUCAAAGCUUAAAAUUGCUCAAUCAAACAUGACAAAAGAGACAUCUCUCUCAUCGGUAAAUAGUUUGGCAAUAUUUAUACUUUAAAUAUUCCUGGUUUUACUACCUUAACUUGCCUUACUAUGAAAGAUAGUGAUAUUUGGUUGUGGUACAGAAUGCUCGGGUAUGCUAGUGUGCAUAUCAUUAAGAAGUUGUCCAGACUCAAAUUGGUAAAAGGUUUGCCAAAACUCAAGUUUAAAAAGGAUCACACAUGUGAUGACUGUCAGUUGGGUAUGCAGACUCGGACAUCAUUCAAAGUCAAAGAGAUUGUCUCCACUACAAAACCUCUUCAAACAAUCUAUAUUGAUCUAUUUGGCCCCACCAAAAUUGCAAGCAUCGGUGGAAAGAGAUAUGUUUUUUCAUUGUUGAUGAUUAUUCAUGUUUUACUUGGGUAUUGUUCCUUGCUCAUAAACAUGAGGCUUUAACAAAUUUUGAGAUUUUUGUAGAAAGGUACAGAGAGAAGCCAAUAACUCAUCACUUACGUUCACAGUAAUCACAGAGGAGAAUUUGAAAAUAAAAGGCAUUUGAGGAGUAUUAUGCUCAGAAUGGAACUCUCGGAACAUAUCUUUACCUUGGUACCCUUAGCAAAAUUUUGUAGUAGAGCGGAAGAAUCGGUCAGUCUAGGAAACUUCUAGGACAAUGUUGUUAGAACAUAAUCUCCCAGAUUAUUUUUGGGCAGAAGCAGUAAGCAUCACAUAUUACGUCAUCAAUAGGUGUCUGAUCUGACCUAUCCUAAAGAAAAUGCCUUAUGAACUCUGGAGAGAAAAGAAGCCCAACAUCAGUAAUUUCCAUCCUUUUGGCUCCAAAUAUUUUAUUCACAACAAUGGUAAGAAUAGCUUGGGAAAAUUUUAUCCACAAAGUGACAAAGGUAUUUUUCUUGGGUACUCUCCGACCAGUCGUGCCUAUAUGGCCUUUAAUAAAAGAACUUUGUGUGUUGAGGAAUCUAUGCAUAUUGUAUUUGAUGAAUAUAAUUACUUCUAUAUGAGUUUGAGUGCUGAUGAAGAAUAUGUGGGUAUUCUGUGAUCCAAAUAAAGUAACAGCACAAUGUCUGAGCCAUCACAAGACAAGUGACUUUACCCUCCCAUGAGUUGACUACUAAAAUAGAAAUAGUAAAGCCAAGUGUUCCAAAAGAAUGAAAGAAUGAUUCUAGUCAUCCAAACAAAGUCAUCAUCGAAAAUCCAGAGGAUAGAGUGCAAACAAGAGCAUCAUUGAGGAGACAAGCAGUUGUAGCCCUUGUUUCUCAAACGGAACCCAAGAAAAUUGAUGAGGCCCUCAAAGAUAAAUCAUGAGUUCCAAAUGGGUCUAUAGAAAUAACUUAAAUGAAGAAGGUAAAUUUAUCAGAAAUAAAGACAGACUUGUAGAUCAAGGCUACUACCAGCAGAAAGGUAUUGAUUAUGAUGAGACCUUUGGCCCGGUGGCAAGGUUAGAUUCAAUACAAAUUUUAUUAGUUUUUGCAGCGUUCAAAUAUUUUAAGUUAUGUCAAACGGACAUAAAAAAUGCUUUGUUAAAUGGGUUUAUUCAUGAGGAAGUUUUUGUAAAACAACCUCCCAGAUAUGAAGAUCCAUCAUAUCCAAAUUAGGUUUUCAAAUUUUCAAGAGCACUCUAUGGCCUCAAACAAUCUCCAAGAUCUUGGUAUGAGAGAUUGAGUACAUUUUUACUAUAUAACAAUUUUCAAAGGGGUAGAAUUGUUACAAAUCUAUUCAUAUAAAAUCUUGGUUAUUCCUGCUCCUCAUAUUUUAAUUUAAUUGGUUAUUCAGAUGCCGAUUUUGCAGGAGAUAAAAAUAAUAGAAAGAGCAUUAGUGGAACAUGUCAAAUUCUUGGUGAUGCCCUUAUCUCAUGGCAUAGCAAGAAGAAAAAUUUCAUUGCUCUUUCAACCACUAAAAAUGAAUACAUAGUUGUCGGAAGUUGUGGUACUCAAAUCUUAUGGAUUAUGCAUCAGCUUCUUGACUUUGACUUAUCUUUUGAAUUUGUUCCUAUUAUGUGUGAUAACACCAGUGCUAUUAGCUUAUCUAAGUAUAUUGUGAAUCAUUCUAGGAAUAAACAUAUUGAUAUUAAGUAUCAUUUUAUUCGAUAUCAUGUAGAGAAUGGUGAUUUUACUCUAAAAUUUAUUGACUUCGAAAAUCAACUAGCAGAUAUUUUUAACAAAAACUCUGCUACAAGAAAGAUUUUGUUUCCUUAGAAAAAGGCUUGGUAUUCUUAACAUUAAUGAUUUGUAAGCCUUAUUUUGGACUGUAUUUUGCCAUGAUUUUUAUUAAAUAAAAAAAUUAUGCAUUUUUUCUAGUACACCUCUUCUGAAAAAGAAGUCAACAUUACCCCCGUUACAUACUUCCUGGCCAUAUAGGUUGUAAAACGAUUUCACUUUUUUCUACUCCUUGAUGUAUUUUUAUGUGUGGUCUUUUUUGUUUAUAUGUUUCUUGUGUGUUGUUUCUUUUUAUUAUGUCAAAGGGAGAGAAAGAAGGAACAUCAUAGUCGUCUACAAGUCAGGGGGAGCAGAGCAAGUCAACUGAUGUUACAUGAAAGUCAACUAAUACUUGUACAAGUCAGGGGAAGCAAGCUGGCCGAUAAGGGAGUUAUUGGCCGAUAAGGGAGUUAACUGAUGUUUACUCUUGUUUCCAAUAUUUACUCUUGUUUGUCAUUAUCAAAAAUAAGGAGAUUAUUAGACUCCUAAGUCUAUGUUUUAAUAAUGACAAACUAAAAAUUGCAUUUUUAUAGGAUAUUUAAGACUGCUGAUAUUGGAAAGAUAAAGGAAGCCAGCUCCAGGAAUGGAAGGAAAUCAAUUCACGAUCAAUGACAUCCAAGUAAAUCAAUCACAGGCUUCAGGAAGUGAAGGACAUCGGCAAUGGAAGGACAUCAAUUCACGAUCCAUGACAUCCAAGUAAAUCAAUCACAAUGAGAACAAAUGGAAGAAGUAUCUCAGCCCGAAAAGUCAUAGAAAAUCAAAUCAAUCAUGAUCAAGUAAAAGAAGAAAAAUGUCACAAACACAUUUGGAAAGGUAUAAAUCUAUACGAGACCAACAUGAAUAAUAGAUCAUAGACAUAUCUGAUAUGGACAUAUGUAAAAGCGGUAUAUAGACAUAUUUGAUAUGGACCUAUCAUACGUCUACAUUCCUCAAUCAAGGAAUCUAUUCAAAUCUUUGAUUGAGAAGAAAUAUCUUUGUUUUUCUUCUGAAGAGUAGUAGCCGAAGACUAUAAAAGAGGAAGAAUAAAGAUGGACACGGGUUGUGCAACUUCAAGAGAAAAACUCAAAGUGUCUCACUCUUAGUCUCAUAAGGCCUUGUAAUCUUUAGCUUACAAUUAUUAUAUAAAGAAUAGGAUCAAGUCCAUUUUGUGAUAUAAACUGAAGCUAUGUCACAUGACCUGAAGAGUAAAAUAAGUCUUCAAAACUUAUUUCUCAUCAUUGUACUCGAAGCCAAUAUUGGAGAUCUAAGGAAAUAUUGAAAUCCAAGGG
Molecule: long non-coding RNA, 20279 nt
Filed under: Capsicum annuum
Lineage: Eukaryota; Viridiplantae; Streptophyta; Magnoliopsida; Solanales; Solanaceae
Description: long non-coding RNA (CANN_LNC020230)
Source: RNAcentral